This 253-nucleotide ribosomal RNA is filed under the name uncultured bacterium. RNAcentral describes it as "partial 16S ribosomal RNA". It matches the Rfam family "Bacterial small subunit ribosomal RNA", at positions 524 to 776 of the family's 1533-position model. The record is from RNAcentral.
UACGGAGGAUCCAAGCGUUGUCCGGAUUUACUGGGUUUAAAGGGUGCGUAGGUGGACUUUUAAGUCGGUGGUGAAAGCCUGUAGCUUAACUAUAGAAUUGCCAUUGAAACUGAAAGUCUUGAGUACAGUUGAGGUGAGCGGAAUGUAUUAUGUAGCGGUGAAAUGCUUAGAUAUGAUACAGAACACCGAUUGCGAAGGCAGCUCACUAAACUGCAACUGACACUGAGGCACGAAAGCGUGGGGAUCAAACGGG